This 501-nucleotide ribosomal RNA is filed under the name uncultured bacterium. RNAcentral describes it as "partial 16S ribosomal RNA". It matches the Rfam family "Bacterial small subunit ribosomal RNA", at positions 30 to 523 of the family's 1533-position model. The record is from RNAcentral.
AUUGAACGCUGGCGGCAUGCCUUACACAUGCAAGUCGAACGGCAGCACGGGUGCUUGCACCUGGUGGCGAGUGGCGAACGGGUGAGUAAUAUAUCGGAACGUACCUUAUUGUGGGGGAUAACGCAGCGAAAGCUGUGCUAAUACCGCACAAUCCCUAAGGGGGAAAGCGGGGGACCGUAAGGCCUCGCGCAAUUAGAGCGGCCGAUACCUGAUUAGCUAGUUGGUGAGGUAAAGGCUCACCAAGGCAACGAUCAGUAGCUGGUCUGAGAGGACGAUCAGCCACACUGGGACUGAGACACGGCCCAGACUCCUACGGGAGGCAGCAGUGGGGAAUUUUGGACAAUGGGUGCAACCCUGAUCCAGCAAUGCCGCGUGAGUGAAGAAGGCCUUCGGGUUGUAAAGCUCUUUUGUCAGGGAAGAAACAGCAGCACGAACACAGUUUGCGAAUGACGGUACCUGAAGAAUAAGCACCGGCUAACUACGUGCCAGCAGCCGCAGUAA